CCUACGUGAGACAGCAGUGAGGAAUAUUGGUCAAUGGGCGCGAGCCUGAACCAGCCAAGUAGCGUGAAGGAUGACUGUCCUACGGGUUGUAAACUUCUUUUAUAAAGGAAUAAAGUGAUGCACGUGUGCCUUUUUGUAUGUACUUUAUGAAUAAGGAUCGGCUAACUCCGUGCCAGCAGCCGCGGUAAUACGGAGGAUCCGAGCGUUAUCCGGAUUUAUUGGGUUUAAAGGGAGCGUAGAUGGGUUGUUAAGUCAGUUGUGAAAGUUUGCGGCUCAACCGUAAAAUUGCAAUUGAAACUGGCAGUCUUGAGUACAGUUGAGGUAGGCGGAAUUCGUGGUGUAGCGGUGAAAUGCUUAGAUAUCACGAAGAACUCCGAUUGCGAAGGCAGCUUACUAAACUGCCACUGACAUUGAUGCUCGAAAGUGUGGGUAUCAAACAGGAUUAGAUACCCGAGUAGUC
RNAcentral lists this ribosomal RNA (460 nucleotides) under uncultured bacterium. RNAcentral describes it as "partial 16S ribosomal RNA". It matches the Rfam family "Bacterial small subunit ribosomal RNA", at positions 338 to 795 of the family's 1533-position model. The record is from RNAcentral.